This 193-nucleotide ribosomal RNA is filed under the name uncultured bacterium. RNAcentral describes it as "partial 16S ribosomal RNA". It matches the Rfam family "Bacterial small subunit ribosomal RNA", at positions 336 to 526 of the family's 1533-position model. The record is from RNAcentral.
CUCCUACGGGAGGCAGCAGUAGGGAAUAUUGGACAAUGGGCGCAAGCCUGAUCCUGCCAUCCCGCGUGAAGGAUUAAGGCCCUAUGGGUUGUAAACUUCUUUUAUCUGGGACGAAAAACAGGAAUUCUUUUCUGCUCGACGGUACCAGAGGAAUAAGCACCGGCUAACUCCGUGCCAGCAGCCGCGGUAAUAC